UGCAGUCGACGGGAUGGUCCCUUCGGGGACCGGCGAGUGGCGCACGGGUGAGUAACGCGUGGGGAUCUGCCCUGAAGUACGGAACAACCGCUGGAAACGGCGGCUAAUACCGUAUACGCCCCUUUUGGUGGUUCUUGAGGGGGAAAGCUUUAAGCGCUUUAGGAUGAACCCGCGUCGGAUUAGCUAGUUGGUGUGGUAACGGCGCACCAAGGCAUCGAUCCGUAGCUGGUCUGAGAGGAUGAUCAGCCACACUGGGACUGAGACACGGCCCAGACUCCUACGGGAGGCAGCAGUGGGGAAUAUUAGACAAUGGGCGCAAGCCUGAUCCAGCCAUGCCGCGUGAAUGAAGAAGGCCUUAGGGUUGUAAAGUUCUUUCACCCAUGAAGAUGAUGACGGUAAUGGGAGAAGAAGCCCCGGCUAACUCCGUGCCAGCAGCCGCGGUAAUACGGAGGGGGCAAGCGUUGUUCGGAAUUACUGGGCGUAAAGAGUUCGUAGGUGGUUAAAAAAAGUUGGUGGUGAAAUCCCGGAGCUUAACUCUGGAACUGCCAUCAAAACUUUUUAGCUAGAGUAUGAUAGAGGAAAGCAGAAUUUCUAGUGUAGAGGUGAAAUUCGUAGAUAUUAGAAAGAAUACCAAUUGCGAAGGCAGCUUUCUGGAUCAUUACUGACUCUGAGGAACGAAAGCAUGGGUAGCGAAGAGGAUUAGAUACCCUCGUAGUCCAUGCCGUAAACGAUGUGUGUUAGACGUUGGAAAUUUAUUUUCAGUGUCGCAGCGAAAGCGAUAAACACACCGCCUGGGGAGUACGACCGCAAGGUUAAAACUCAAAUGAAUUGACGGGGACCCGCACAAGUAGUGGAGCAUGUGGUUUAA
Molecule: ribosomal RNA, 868 nt
Filed under: uncultured marine bacterium
Lineage: Bacteria
Description: bacterial SSU rRNA
Rfam family: Bacterial small subunit ribosomal RNA
Source: RNAcentral